RNAcentral lists this ribosomal RNA (252 nucleotides) under uncultured bacterium. RNAcentral's name for it is "partial 16S ribosomal RNA". It matches the Rfam family "Bacterial small subunit ribosomal RNA", at positions 524 to 776 of the family's 1533-position model. The record is from RNAcentral.
UACAGAGGGUGCAAGCGUUAAUCGGAGUUACUGGGCGUAAAGGGCGCGUAGGCGGUCAUGCAAGUGAGAUGUGAAAUCCCCGGGCUUAACCUGGGAACUGCAUUUUAGACUGUGUGACUGGAGUACUGUAGAGGACAGUGGAAUUUCCGGUGUAGCGGUGAAAUGCGUAGAGAUCGGAAGGAACACCAGUGGCGAAGGCGACUGUCUGGCCAGAUACUGACGCUGAGGCGCGAAAGCGUGGGAGCAAACAGG